This 1502-nucleotide ribosomal RNA is filed under the name Escherichia coli. RNAcentral describes it as "partial 23S ribosomal RNA". It matches the Rfam family "Bacterial large subunit ribosomal RNA", at positions 1292 to 2777 of the family's 2925-position model. Lineage: Bacteria; Pseudomonadati; Pseudomonadota; Gammaproteobacteria; Enterobacterales; Enterobacteriaceae. The record is from RNAcentral.
GAAUGCUGACAUAAGUAACGAUAAAGCGGGUGAAAAGCCCGCUCGCCGGAAGACCAAGGGUUCCUGUCCAACGUUAAUCGGGGCAGGGUGAGUCGACCCCUAAGGCGAGGCCGAAAGGCGUAGUCGAUGGGAAACAGGUUAAUAUUCCUGUACUUGGUGUUACUGCGAAGGGGGGACGGAGAAGGCUAUGUUGGCCGGGCGACGGUUGUCCCGGUUUAAGCGUGUAGGCUGGUUUUCCAGGCAAAUCCGGAAAAUCAAGGCUGAGGCGUGAUGACGAGGCACUACGGUGCUGAAGCGACAAAUGCCCUGCUUCCAGGAAAAGCCUCUAAGCAUCAGGUAACAUCAAAUCGUACCCCAAACCGACACAGGUGGUCAGGUAGAGAAUACCAAGGCGCUUGAGAGAACUCGGGUGAAGGAACUAGGCAAAAUGGUGCCGUAACUUCGGGAGAAGGCACGCUGAUAUGUAGGUGAAGCGACUUGCUCGUGGAGCUGAAAUCAGUCGAAGAUACCAGCUGGCUGCAACUGUUUAUUAAAAACACAGCACUGUGCAAACACGAAAGUGGACGUAUACGGUGUGACGCCUGCCCGGUGCCGGAAGGUUAAUUGAUGGGGUUAGCGGUAACGCGAAGCUCUUGAUCGAAGCCCCGGUAAACGGCGGCCGUAACUAUAACGGUCCUAAGGUAGCGAAAUUCCUUGUCGGGUAAGUUCCGACCUGCACGAAUGGCGUAAUGAUGGCCAGGCUGUCUCCACCCGAGACUCAGUGAAAUUGAACUCGCUGUGAAGAUGCAGUGUACCCGCGGCAAGACGGAAAGACCCCGUGAACCUUUACUAUAGCUUGACACUGAACAUUGAGCCUUGAUGUGUAGGAUAGGUGGGAGGCUUUGAAGUGUGGACGCCAGUCUGCAUGGAGCCGACCUUGAAAUACCACCCUUUAAUGUUUGAUGUUCUAACGUGGGCCCCUUACCGGGGUUGCGGACAGUGUCUGGUGGGUAGUUUGACUGGGGCGGUCUCCUCCUAAAGAGUAACGGAGGAGCACGAAGGUUGGCUAAUCCUGGUCGGACAUCAGGAGGUUAGUGCAAUGGCAUAAGCCAGCUUGACUGCGAGCGUGACGGCGCGAGCAGGUGCGAAAGCAGGUCAUAGUGAUCCGGUGGUUCUGAAUGGAAGGGCCAUCGCUCAACGGAUAAAAGGUACUCCGGGGAUAACAGGCUGAUACCGCCCAAGAGUUCAUAUCGACGGCGGUGUUUGGCACCUCGAUGUCGGCUCAUCACAUCCUGGGGCUGAAGUAGGUCCCAAGGGUAUGGCUGUUCGCCAUUUAAAGUGGUACGCGAGCUGGGUUUAGAACGUCGUGAGACAGUUCGGUCCCUAUCUGCCGUGGGCGCUGGAGAACUGAGGGGGGCUGCUCCUAGUACGAGAGGACCGGAGUGGACGCAUCACUGGUGUUCGGGUUGUCAUGCCAAUGGCACUGCCCGGUAGCUAAAUGCGGAAGAGAUAAGUGCUGAAAG